This 468-nucleotide ribosomal RNA is filed under the name uncultured bacterium. RNAcentral describes it as "partial 16S ribosomal RNA". It matches the Rfam family "Bacterial small subunit ribosomal RNA", at positions 28 to 507 of the family's 1533-position model. The record is from RNAcentral.
GACGAACGCUGGCGGCGUGCUUAACACAUGCAAGUCGAACGGAAAGACCCUGCUUUUGUGGGGUGCUCGAGUGGCGAACGGGUGAGUAACACGUGAGUAACCUGCCCUUGACUUUGGGAUAACUUCAGGAAACUGGGGCUAAUACCGGAUAGGAGCUCCUGCUGCAUGGUGGGGGUUGGAAAGUUUCGGCGGUUGGGGAUGGACUCGCGGCUUAUCAGCUUGUUGGUGGGGUAGUGGCUUACCAAGGCUUUGACGGGUAGCCGGCCUGAGAGGGUGACCGGCCACAUUGGGACUGAGAUACGGCCCAGACUCCCACGGGAGGCAGCAGUGGGGAAUAUUGCACAAUGGGCGGAAGCCUGAUGCAGCAACGCCGCGUGCGGGAUGACGGCCUUCGGGUUGUAAACCGCUUUCACCUGUGACGAAGCGUGAGUGACGGUAAUGGGUAAAGAAGCACCGGCUAACUACGUG